RNAcentral lists this ribosomal RNA (256 nucleotides) under uncultured bacterium. RNAcentral's name for it is "partial 16S ribosomal RNA". It matches the Rfam family "Bacterial small subunit ribosomal RNA", at positions 524 to 777 of the family's 1533-position model. The record is from RNAcentral.
UACAGAGGUCUCAAGCGUUGUUCGGAUUCAUUGGGCGUAAAGGGUGCGUAGGUGGCGCCGUAAGUCAGGUGUGAAAUUUCGGAGCUUAACUCCGAAACUGCAUUUGAUACUGCGGUGCUUGAGGACUGGAGAGGAGACUGGAAUUCAUCGGUGUAGCAGUGAAAUGCGUAGAGAUCGAUGAGGAAGACCAGUGGCGAAGGCGGGUCUCUGGACAGUUCCUGACACUGAGGCACGAAGGCCAGGGGAGCAAACGGGG